AAUACGUUCCCGGGCCUUGUACACACCGCCCGUCAAGCCAUGGAAGCUGGGAGUACCUGAAGUGCGUAACCGCAAGGAGCGUCCUAGGGUAAAAUCGGUAACUGGGGCU
RNAcentral lists this ribosomal RNA (109 nucleotides) under uncultured bacterium. Its description in RNAcentral is "partial 16S ribosomal RNA". It matches the Rfam family "Bacterial small subunit ribosomal RNA", at positions 1365 to 1482 of the family's 1533-position model. The record is from RNAcentral.